GGCCGGUUAGCUCAGUUGGUUAUAGCGUGGUGUUAAAAAUGCCAAGGUCGUGGGUUCGAUACCAAUACGGGCCA
This is a non-coding RNA of Sinocyclocheilus rhinocerous, 74 nucleotides long. NCBI's taxonomy places the organism in Eukaryota, Metazoa, Chordata, Actinopteri, Cypriniformes, Cyprinidae. The record is from the annotation of a RefSeq genome assembly.